GCAUUCUGAAGUCAGCUACCUGCUUAGCAAGAUGUGUGGGCAGAAAUUCAUCCCGAAAGUGACGUGGACAGACAGUCCUCCGAUCUAUGCUGGAAAUGUCAAGGGCUCUGGAGCUUGACCACCUGGGUUCAAAUGCCACCUUCACUCAUGUUAACAGUGUGGCUUGGGCAACCGACUUUACCUCUCUGCACCUGUUUCUUCAAUGUGCAAAUGGAAAGAACAUCACCUGCCUCUUAGGUUGUUCUAAGGAUAAAUUAUAUGCAAUGCACUUAGAAUACGGCCAGACUAAAAGGUCAUUUCCAGCAUUUACUUUUGAACUAUCAAGGCCUGAUUUUGAAAGACUCCGGACUCCAUGCAAAGUGUCUUAGCUACGAGCUGAAUUGUGUCCCUACCCCUACCUUUAAAUUCCUAUGUUGAAGUCAACCCUCAGUACCUCAGAAUGUGACUAUAUGUGGAGCUAGGGUCUUUAAAGAGGUAUAAUUAAGUUAAAAUAGGUCACUGGGGUGGGCCCUAAUCCAGUGUGACUGGUAUCCUUAUAAGAAGAGAAAAUUAGGGCAUAGACAUAUACAGAAUUGAAGAUGAUGUGGGGAUGCAAGAAGACAGUGGUCAUCUAUAAGCAAAGGAGAGAAGCCUGGAAGAACCAGUCCUGCCAACAUCUUGAUCUUGAACUUCUAGCCGCCAGAACUGCAAAAAAAAGAUAAGUUCCUGUCAUUUAAGCUUUUUUCUGGCAGGCCUAGCAAACUAAAACCAUCUGCAUUAGUCAAGGUUCUCCAGAAAAACUGAAAUAAUA
Homo sapiens (human) is the source of this 790-nucleotide long non-coding RNA. NCBI's taxonomy places the organism in Eukaryota, Metazoa, Chordata, Mammalia, Primates, Hominidae. The record is from Ensembl.